AUGUGUUCUACAGUGAGUUCUGAGUAUACUGCACCGCCCUCGAGGACCUGCAGGGGGCGCGCGAAGCCAGCGUGUCUUAGGUGGCGGUGCGCAUACCCAGUCCGCGUCAGCAGCCAGCAUCUUCCCUGGGGGCGGAGCUUGUUUUCCUCAGGACUGAGCGGGCGGCGCCAUGGAGCCUCCAGGACAGCGCUGCCUGCGUGUCCGCGGGAGGAGGACGCUCCCCGCCCGCUGUCUGAAGUUACGCCGGUUUCCCACUGCCUGCGCCCGCUUCCUGCCGGGGUGUGUGUGGACCUGACCGAGCUGGGGCCCCGGCCGGCUGGGCAGGAGGGGAUGGGUGCGCUGGCGGGCCCGCUUCGACUAUUCUCGCCCGCAGGGAGCAGAUUGAAUCUGACUGAGACAUAACUUCGAUGAGAUCACACUGCUAUUAAACCUGCCCCAGAUACAUAUGCACUGGCUUGAGGACCAGCAUAUUGAAGGAACUUGAAAAUGGAAGACCACCUCCACCCUACUGCCCUCUUCAACAGAAAAGCAAUGGGACUGGUUCCUGACAUUGUGCCCUGUGGAGCUGUCAUUACAGCUUAAUCACUCCACUCACCAGAGAACUCGACAUAUCACAUCACACGUCUUAAGACUAUUUAGGAUGAUGGCACACAUUCCAAGCCAACUUUAUGAUUUCCUUUUUGGUGAUCUCCUCCUGUUGAAAAGUAAAAUGUCAUCCCAAAAGUUGUUUUCUGACGUUGGUUAUUUUAAGUGUCCACUAUCAGAUUUCCAUUCUCCCCUCUCUUUUCUCAUGUUCUCCUCUGAAUGGAUAUCCAUCCCUUUGUCAUCAUUUUGUCUAGUUUUCUGAUAUCCUAACCAUUCUCUUAAUUUCCAGUUCCACCUCCUGUAUACAAGGAACAUUAUUCUGGAAGACACUUCCCUGAAACCUGAGUUUCAACAGAAACUUGAGGGCAAGGGUUCUGCCCAUACAGUGAGAACAAGCAAUUAUAACCUUAAGAGAGUAUGGGAAUUCUGAUGUCACUACUCCGUGAUUCUUUAUUUUCAGUCAAUAAAUAACAUGUACCUCUGAUGAUGGCUGUAUGGUCAGGCCACUCAAGAUGGCUUCUCUCUAUACAUCUCCUGCUUGACUGGUGCCUGCUUCACCUACACACAACUCAUAAGACUGAUCUUCCUUCAUAUUCACCCCAGGCCCCAGCUAAUGACUGUUCUAGAUUUAGAUCAGAACUCACCACUAUGCUUAUCCAAGGGGUGGUGAGAGGCAUGACCCUGUGCUGAUUACCCUCGUAACCAAUGAGCCAACCUGACAUCAACUCCCCUAUGACUGGUAACCACUUCUUCCCCACCAGGAGCAAAGACUGCCAUCAUGUCCUGCCCUCCAGCUCCCACACAUGGCAGGAUGUUGCUCCAGGACUUUGCUUCAGAUGUGUAAGAUCACCCUAAUCAUUAAACUAUUGAUUAUCUCUGUUGCUGACUCUGGGAUCUUUCUCAGGUCUUGAAGCUGGGCAAGUACAGGGCUUGUAGACCUGCAGGGUGCAGUCCAGUGCUGACAUAGCUAAUUAAUACCCUCACAUAAAACACUUCAUUUAUAUAAACAUAAUGUAACUAGUAGCCAAAUUGGGUUCAAAAGAAUGGAAAUACAUGGAGAUCAGAAGCAACCUUAGCUCUAGGGUCCUCAGAAAGCCCAGAUUCAGUGGGAUAUCAUGGUACAGCACAAGGCUUGUGGGGAGAAAUGAAUAGCAGGCACAGCUUUGCCCAUCUCUUAUCUAAUUCUCAAUAGUUCCUUCUGCUAUUGGACCAACCUGGGAUGUGUCUAUGUCCAUUCAAAUACUAUCCCUUUCUGAAACUCUUAUGAAAAUUUCAGUGCACAUCAUGUUAAUUAUGAUGUUUCACUCAUGAUGCCACUUAAACUUAUCAUCAUCUUGCAUUGUUUCAAAAUAUUGAAUGUAUGUAAUUACUCUAAUUAUUUAUGUUGCCUUAUUUUAGUUGUGAUGGUUAUAUAUUUUUCCAGGUUUAUUUUCUUCUCUUGUAAAACUGUGCUCAAGCAAAGUAGAUCUACCCAAUGUUUCACAAUGAUACCCUGUACAUUUUGCCUUCCCAAAAUGUCACUUUAAAUAUUCUAUUUGAAGAGUUUUCUCUCUCUUCUCACUCUGUGUGAAUAGUGUUCAUCCUUCAAAAACCAGUCAAUGCCAGUGACUUCAAAAGGGUCAUUCCUCUCACAAAAGUGUAUCUGACCUUGUGAGUAUGCUUUUUCUCAGAAAAAAAGAAUCAUGAAUUUGCAUAAUUUGUUUGGCAGUUUCUAUAUGCAGGUAUAUCUUAUUUUAUUGUGCUUCACUUAACUGUACUUUGCAGAUACUGAGUUUUUUCUUUACAAAUUGAAAGUUUGUGGCAACCUGGUCUCUGGCAAGUCUGUC
This is a long non-coding RNA of Camelus dromedarius (Arabian camel), 2411 nucleotides long. RefSeq lists it as uncharacterized. The record is from RefSeq and is a predicted model, not a curated record. NCBI's taxonomy places the organism in Eukaryota, Metazoa, Chordata, Mammalia, Artiodactyla, Camelidae. The transcript is spliced from 3 exons.